GGCAAGCAAACAGGUUGUUACGUCACUCUGAGGGCAGAGAGGGGGCGAGCCACAGUGCGGAGGAAUUAUGCUCCUGCUGCAGGCCACUGUGGGAUUGGAGAAUCAGCUCUGUCCGUGGGACACACAGCCAAGUGGCCGUGAACACGGAAGGUUAUCUGGAUGGCUGUAGGUUGUGAAAGGAAGUAGCUUUCUAUGGCUCAUGGAGAUGAGUUUUUUUUUUUAAAUCAAAUUAUCAGACAGUCUUUGUGCAUAACUAUGAUGCUCCCUGUGUGACAAGAGCGCUUUCCUGGGAGGCGAAGGGCCAUCUGAAAUGGCUCACUUCUUUGGGGCCUCGGAGAGCAGGUGUGGUCGUAGAAGGCUGACUGCUUUGCUGGACUCCCCCAAACCCAAAGAAAUGGUGUGCUUAUCUUCCAGAACAUCUUUCUGGCAGGGCCUGCACAGCCAGGGUGUCCCAUGGCGACUCAAGGAUGUCUGUCCCUCUCCCUGCCCCAUCGAGGUCCCAGGGCUUGGUGUGUGGCUUCCUCGGUGCUGGCUCACUCAGAGGCGAUGGCACUGGUUCCGGAACACUUUUGGAAGGUCAACGGAGCAUUACUUGGGAGCCUUUCUCUGGCAGAUAAAAUAGCUCAGCCAUGUGGAGAGUACGCGAACAGGUUUUGGAGUUAGAGAAAUAAGGAAGGGUGCUGGGGGGCGGCGGGGUUCAGGGCUCCUGCUCCACAGCAGGCAGGAAGGUGCUGAAUGCAAAACACUUGUCCUUGCCAAGAGUGAGUAUAAAGCUUAGUAACACACAUGAGCAGGUUCACUUUUAGGCCCUAAACCAGAGCUCCAGCGAAAUACCCAAAGCUACACUGAGGUUGAAUUCAGGAAGGAGACUUUAUCUGUCAGUGAAGGCCUGUGCAUGUGCAUUUAGUCCCACUAAGACUUUUAAAGGAGAUGGUUCCUUUGGGCAUUAUAAAGCCACACUUUCUACCGUAGGAAAAAUCUUUAUAAUUGCUUUGCUCAAAUGAUCACAGGCACUUUAUUUGCAAAGCAAACCAACACCCACGGCAACAUAGUCCAGAAACCUCAGUACCAAGUCUGCUCUUGUAUUAACCUUGAAAUUACAAAUAUGGAAGGAAGUUAUAUACAGAAAACGGCCCCAGAGCAUGUCAGAUCCAGGCCAACUUCCAUGCUCACUUUGGAGAAUUAAAGUUGAAUUCAGUAUAAGAGGCUCAUGGGCUCUCCAAGCAACAAAUAGCCACUUACUAGCUGGGUAACCUCAGAACUUGGGCAUGGAAAUGGCACCUAAAUCAUAGCUCCAGGUACACUGUAUAUGCUCAAUAUAUGGUAACUAUUAUUAUUAAUAAAUACAUACAACAAAUGCCCAUUAAAGGCAAACUAUGGAUUGAAAAUACCCUGUAUGUUAUUCCGAGGGUUCACUUUACUCUUGGGGCAGGGAAGGUAAGGGUCAGCGUAACCUCCUGGUAAAAACGAAUUAAAAAAUCCAGAACCUCUCUGGAUAGGAGAAUGUAGGGGCCACCCCAGAAUCCCAGGGCUUCUUAACAUCAAGGCAAAUAUUACAGUGAGGUGAGGGUGGUGAUUUCCCUUCCCCAGAGAGCAGCCUCUCUCCCCACUCUGACUUGCCGCAGAUGGGCCUGGGUGCGACCUUCAUCCUGCCGCCCAGCAUGGUGCCCCGUCCUCCUCAUGUGUGUGGGUGGGAGGGCGUGGACGGUGCUGGACAAUUGUGCACCCAACAUAUCCUUGCCUCACCGGUAAUACCUUGGCAGGAAAAAUUAAGAUCAAGCUCUACUGACAAAAAAAUGUUAGAAAAGAUUAUUUUUUUACAUUGAAAGUACAAAAAUCAAAUCCUGGACGCAUAAAGCAAGAUGAAGAGUUGGGUUUUCUUUCCAAUUCCAUCUGGUUCACGGCUUCCUAUUCUGGAGGGGCUGGGACUUUGGGCCCAAUGCAGAGCUGACCCAGGCCAGAAUGAGAGCUUCUAGAACAAUACCCAGUGCAAUCUGAGAGGAUCCAGCCAAGCUCCCCUAGCGCAAGGUGACAUUUUUGAACCUGGACUGGGAAUCCAAGUUAUUCCCACAGGUUUAAAUUUUGUGGCUAUUAAAACUGUUGCUCUAAAGACAGAAGGUUCUCCACGCCGUGCCUGGCCACCUCGGGCUGCUUUCCGAGGGAGGCUUCCGGGCUCGCAGACGGCUCACUGCAUCACACGCCUGCUGUCUUAUCUUGAAUGUGGAGUUCCCCAGGGUGAGAUUAGGUUGUUCAAAUUAGAAACUGGGAUUAGCCAGAGAGAGGCUAUCUUCCAAGAAUGAUUUCCUUUUCUUUUUGCUGCCCAGACUUACUGAUUUCUGAAGCCCUAUCUGGGCAGCUGCAACGAUGCCCGGCUUCCUCCCUAAGCGGGAAGCACAUACGAUCAAUCAGGAGGGCUGCGCCUUUAUCUCAGAGUGCAGCUAGAUAGCUGGUAAAGGCCCCACUCUCCAAUUUUCUUCUGAGUAAACAGGCCGUGUGUAAAGCCGUUCAAUCUUUCAUGAGAAUUGCAGCCAGAAACGUGGUGGUUUGCGGGAGGCUCUCAAGGCUGCGUCUGCCUGGAAACAUUUUUGCAAUUAGCCCAGUCCAUUUUUAUCAGGGGUCAUCUUUCUGUCUAUAAAAGACUUAGGCUUUUAGUUUUGAAGGAGCAUAUGAUGGAGGCCUUUGUUAAUGGACAAAAUCUCCUCACUGAAUUUAACUUUAAGCUAAUGCAGCUUUGGGUACUUUGUUUAAAAAUUUUGGUUUGAGGCUAGAUUUCCUUCUACUUUAAAAUAUGCCCCGAGACUCUUGCUCAUAAACACUCCGAUUGACAACUGUUUUGCAUUCACGAUCUUAUUCCUCUCCUCUGGGGAAGGAGGAGGCGAUGCUUUUGAAUGAAAGCCCUCCUGUCUAAUGUUCUCCUGUAUAAAGGCCAUGGCCCUGGACUGUCUCCAGCUUAAUCUAGCAGUUGACCUCAACAAGGUCCCCAUGGCUCCAUUCCCUAAUUCAUUCCAUUUCGGGCUUUGUAUUAUCUGCCCGGGGGUCUGGCUGCCAGGGAACAAAUCACCUGAUAACUAUUACCGGUUCACAGCAACAUGCUUAGGCAUCUUCUGAACUCCUCUCGGGCCAAAGUUGUGAACCCAGUUGAUGCUCUACAAAUGCUUGCUGUUACUGGCCCUCGUGCUUACUUCAGGAUGCAGCAACUUGGACCACAGGUGGGAAAGGAUCGGGACUGCCAUGUUCCCUAAGCUCAGACACCCAAGGGGCCCCGGGGUGGGGUGCAGAAACUGACGCUGCAGAGUCCUCAGCAGCUCCUUUGUGGUAAGUGCAAUGACCCAGCUGUCAAUAAAGAUUGACAAAUAUCUUUCUCUUGCUACCUCAAGGAGAAGAGCAGACCUUCCAGACAUGGUCGCUAACAAUAAUGUGAAAGGAAAAUGUGGACUGUCAUGGGUUGAAAUAUUUCGAUCUAUAUCCGGAAAAAGGCACUUGGAACAGAGAUAUCAGGGCACUAGGUGGGACGUGCUGCUACCGACGACGACUUCACUGACUGUGAGCCCCAGGGGCUGUGUGCACCCCGUGACCGAGGGGCAGGUGAAAAGGAGGCGAGGGCGGAUGACCUGAUUUAAAAUUCAGCGAAACACACCGCAGUGAGGGUCUCAGCCCCGAAGGUAACGGGCGUCUGGCCCAUCACCAGGAAGUCUGCCAUUUUUAGUCAAGUGACAACUUGCUCCAGCAAAAGAAUGAUUCUUCCCGGUUUUAAGGAAUAUUAGUAAACUGGCUGGUUAGUGGCUUUUGCUCAAGUACUUGUCCCGGCGCGCACCGUCCCAGAGGCACACCCACGGGGCCAGGCUGAGGAAGGGUGUGUCAGUCCUCUCCGCCUGCAGAGGGGGAACCCCAGGCUGCGGGUCCUCCAGCCACUGGCCGAGGAGCCCGGCCCCAUCCUGACCCUACCAGGCCAGCAACCACCACACAGUGCCACCUGGUGACCCCCCGGGGAGGUGCCCAGACCCUCAGAUCCGGCCAAAGGCAAGAGUCCAGAAGAUCAACAGCGAAGCACCGUGUUUUACAAUCUCUCACCAGGUUGGGGUCCAUCCUGUCUUUUUGAGCAUGAUGGCAUGAGGAGGGGAGGCCAGAGGAAGGGCCGGCAGGAGCUGGAGGUCCCGUCUGGAUGCUAAAGAGCGCAGCAGCAGCAGGAGGAGAGAGCCUGGUUUUAAACGGCCACGACAGCAGUCGCCUGGGAAAACUGUGAAGUGCCAGGAACGGGUUCUAAACAGGACGUGAUGGUGGAUUCCUCAUGCUGGCCCAGUGCAGAAGCUGGUUCAAGAGCCUGCUGAGCUGGGCGUCCAGGCAGGCAAGGGGGAGGCCGCUGAAGCCAUUCGGGCACGAGGCAGUUAGGGUUUGGCCCCAGAAAGCAAGACAAUCUCUUCUGUGACAUCGAGCUGGUAGGCUGGGACCCGGAUGUACGGAGUCUUGUUUGAUGAACAUUUCUCUUAAAGUGAGCCCAGGACGGUCCUAAAUGUACUUCACAGCAGCCCAGGGGCACAGGGACAGAGAAGCAGCAGAGGGGGCAGGGCAGAGCAGCCACCCGGGCACAGCUGAGGACAGAGCUGGGACUUGAGCCCAGCAGCGCGGCUCCCACGGUCGUUCAGGCUGAUGUACUUAUCCAGCUCGAUCACUUUGUCCAUCCAGAAGAUGUCGGCCAUUCCGUGAUCUGAGAAGAUGAUGACGUUGAGGUUGUCCUGCAGCGCCCGCUCCUGUGGGCAGACAGAGGAG
Molecule: non-coding RNA, 4767 nt
Organism: Manis javanica (Malayan pangolin)
Lineage: Eukaryota; Metazoa; Chordata; Mammalia; Pholidota; Manidae
Source: RefSeq, a predicted model, not a curated record